CGAAGGGGGCUAGCGUUGUUCGGAGUUACUGGGCGUAAAGGGCGCGUAGGCGGCCCUCCAAGUCGGGUGUGAAAGCCCACGGCUCAACCGUGGAAUUGCAUUCGAGACUGAAGGGCUUGAGGACGGGAGAGGAUGGUGGAAUUCCCAGUGUAGAGGUGAAAUUCGUAGAUAUUGGGAAGAACACCGGUGGCGAAGGCGGCCAUCUGGACCGUUUCUGACGCUGAGGCGCGAAAGCGUGGGGAGCAAACAGGAUUAGAUACCCUGGUAGACCACGCCGUGAACGAUGAGUGCUAGACGUUGGGAAGCCUAGCUUUUCAGUGUCGCAGCUAACGCAUUAAGCACUCCGCCUGGGGAGUACGGCCGCAAGGUUA
This 371-nucleotide ribosomal RNA is filed under the name uncultured organism. RNAcentral's name for it is "bacterial SSU rRNA". It matches the Rfam family "Bacterial small subunit ribosomal RNA", at positions 526 to 896 of the family's 1533-position model. The record is from RNAcentral.